Molecule: ribosomal RNA, 508 nt
Filed under: uncultured bacterium
Lineage: Bacteria
Description: bacterial SSU rRNA
Rfam family: Bacterial small subunit ribosomal RNA
Source: RNAcentral
UCAGGACGAACGCUGGCGGCGUGCCUAACACAUGCAAGUCGAGCGGGGACAUACGACGGAACCAAAGUUUCGGAUGGAGGUGAAGAUGUAUGUUCUAGCGGCGGACGGGUGAGUAACGCGUGAGCAACCUGUCCCUUACAGGGGGAUAACACAGCGAAAGUUGUACUAAUACCGCAUGAGACCACGGGGAGACAUCUUUCAGGGGUCAAAGGAGCAAUCCGGUAAGGGGUGGGCUCGCGUCCGAUUAGAUAGUUGGUGAGGUAACGGCCCACCAAGUCGACGAUCGGUAGCCGACCUGAGAGGGUGAUCGGCCACAUUGGGACUGAGACACGGCCCAAACUCCUACGGGAGGCAGCAGUGGGGAAUAUUGGGGCCAAUGGGGGGAACCCCGACCCAGCAACGCCGCGUGAGGGAAGAAGGUUUUCGGAUCGUAAACCUCUGUCCUUGGUGAAGAGUAAGAGACGGUAGCCAAGGAGGAAGCCCCGGCUAACUACGUGCCAGCCGCCGC